Molecule: ribosomal RNA, 460 nt
Filed under: uncultured bacterium
Lineage: Bacteria
Description: partial 16S ribosomal RNA
Rfam family: Bacterial small subunit ribosomal RNA
Source: RNAcentral
CCUACGGGAGGCAGCAGUGAGGAAUAUUGGUCAAUGGACGAGAGUCUGAACCAGCCAAGUAGCGUGAAGGAUUACUGCCCUAUGGGUUGUAAACUUCUUUUAUAUGGGAAUAAAAUGUUCCACGUGUGGGAUUUUGUAUGUACCAUAUGAAUAAGGAUCGGCUAACUCCGUGCCAGCAGCCGCGGUAAUACGGAGGAUCCGAGCGUUAUCCGGAUUUAUUGGGUUUAAAGGGAGCGUAGGUGGAUUGUUAAGUCAGUUGUGAAAGUUUGCGGCUCAACCGUAAAAUUGCAGUUGAAACUGGCAGUCUUGAGUACAGUAGAGGUGGGCGGAAUUCGUGGUGUAGCGGUGAAAUGCUUAGAUAUCACGAAGAACUCCGAGUGCGAAGGCAGUUCACUGGACUGCAACUGACACUGAGGCUCGAAAGUGUGGGUAUCAAACAGGAUUAGAUACCCUUGUAGUC